UACGUAGGUGGCAAGCGUUGUCCGGAUUUACUGGGCGUAAAGAGCGCGCAGGCGGUCGAUCAAGUCGGGUGUGAAAGCCCCCGGCUCAACUGGGGAGGGGCAUUCGAUACUGAUCGACUCGAAGGCAGGAGAGGGUAGUGGAAUUCCCGGUGUAGUGGUGAAAUGCGUAGAUAUCGGGAGGAACACCAGUGGCGAAGGCGACUACCUGGCCUGUUCUUGACGCUGAGGCGCGAAAGCUAGGGGAGCAAACGGG
This 253-nucleotide ribosomal RNA is filed under the name uncultured bacterium. Its description in RNAcentral is "partial 16S ribosomal RNA". It matches the Rfam family "Bacterial small subunit ribosomal RNA", at positions 524 to 776 of the family's 1533-position model. The record is from RNAcentral.